AAAUUGCUCAUUAACACAGUAUAUAUAUUUAUUUAAACACGCAACACAGCCUCGAAUACGUCUUCUCUUCUACGAUAUAAUUAAAUGCCAGCCUUGGUGACGAUUCAACUACAAAUACUGGACUAACAAACUGGACAAUUUAAAGGUAUGGUUGCGUAUUGCAAUUUGUUGGGCUGAUUUCAGAUGCAUGUUAAUAAUCAAUGAUAUUUGAAAAAUAUGUGGCAAACAUCAUCUGAUGGUCUCACUGAAAAUAUGUGUCAACAUUAAACAUACACACAUUACAUAUACACACACAAAAAUACAACUACACAUGUACCAUAAACACACUUAACACAUGAUUUACCCUGUUGUCAUGGAAAUUGGUCUCGGGAUUAAACAAUCCAAACAUGUGUAUACUACAUGGUAAGCCACCCCAAAUUCUUCAGCUGAAAUCAUUUCAGGUCACUGUAGGUAAAGUGCUUGGACAAGUGUAGGUUUGUAAUGUAAACACAAUAAGACCUUUCCCAGUUUUUUCUGUGCUUGCUCCCAAAUCCUGUAUAUGGUCAUUGGUUCAGCCAAGUUAGAAAGGGCAUAUGUUUUACACAACUUGACUGAAUGAGAUAUACCUCAUCAACAUGCUAUGCAAACAACAACCCCUGUAACAUUUAAAGUCUUGAGAAUUUUAUUUAUUUUGCUCAUAACAUAAACUACUAGUAUUUACAUUCAAAGGAAUCUAGAGCUAUAGCAAUAUUUAUGCAAAUUUAAUACUCUUGUGGGUUUUUAUUUAUAGACCCAUGCACUAUGCAAACAACAAUCCCUGUAACAUUUAAAGUCUUGAGAAUUUUAUUUAUUUUGCUCAUAACAUAAACUACUAGUAUUUACAUUCAAAGGAAUCUAGAGCUAUAGCAAUAUUUAUGCAAAUUUAAUACUCUUGUGGGUUUUUAUUUAUAGACCCAUGCACUCACCCACAGCUGAACUUCUCAACAAGCUAGGUACAUUGGCACAAAUUAACAGCUUAGCCCAUCAAGUUCCACUGCACCCUACUGGGGCUAUGGUGGUGUGCUGAUUGUGCCACCGACUUUGGUAGUGCAAUUGUCAGAGCGAGGACUUUUUACAUCUGAGAUUGUUGGUUCAAUUCUCACCACUUCAACGACACUUAAAUGUGAAAAGAGUCAUGCUGUCAACACUCUGACAAAAGUUGUGGGUUUUCUCCGGGAACUCCAGUUUUCUAUAGAGGGAAUGUUGACGGGUGGCUUGGGAUUAGCCUCUAACUCACCCUCCAUAAGGUGGCUGCCAGAGGCACCCUCAGAAAGUCUUUUACUCAAUCAAAUUGUGCGAUGUUGAACUGUACCAGCUACAGAGAAAAUAUACAUUUCAUGGGUUGCAAAUAUAAUAUUAUAUCUAUAUUCAUAUCACAUGUAGUUGAAAAUCUUUUGGAAUUCAAGAACAUCAGUGACAAAUGUCAAACUGCACACAAUACACUGAAAAACAAAAAUAUUCAAAUCACUUCAUGGCAAAUUUAAUAUACAUGUAUCAAGCAGUAGUCAUAGUAGUGACAGCACUACUGGGUUCUGUAUCAAUUCAGUGAUUGUUUGCUGAAAAUAAACUAAGUAUUUACAACUUUUAGAAUUGUAUAGUAUAAAGACAUUUGAUCAGCAAAUCUCUUUGGCUGGAACUCGACAUGGGCUUUUGAUUCUGGUGUUAAAUUAUUAAAGGUGCUUCCCUGGUUGAAAUUAUUCUUUCUCCUUUUGUGGGGAGCUUACAAAUUCUUUUAAAAUAUGAAACCUAUUUCUUGUAGUCAUCUUGACCAAGAUUUAUACAAUGAUGCACACAUAAUAUACAGAGAAUAAUGAAAUCUCAAGGCAAACCAAUACAAACACUCACCUCUAACACUCAUUUCUUGAUAAUUCCUUGAUAUAAUAUUCAGCACCAAAAACGCCAAAAAUAAUUGAAAAGGCACGAGUAAAAAGCUGAAUGGUUCGACUCUUCAGAUAUCGUAUUUCUGAAGAGUCAUAUUUACAUUUUCUGCCAGGCGCUGCGGAAUCCCGUCAUACCCUGACCAUGCAGGGCGCUAUAAAACACGGCCGGGGAAACGCGCUAAUAAAUGACCGUGCUACGUGUGAUGCACAUUAGGAUUGGCGCGAGCGCGCUUUCUCUAAAAAAAUCAGAAAAUCGCGUACAAGAUGGCAACAAAAAAAAUGUAAACAAGCAAACGAGAAAACAAAGGAUUUGAAUGCUAAGUAAUUAUGUUUCAAUAAGUUCUUUGAAAUUAUGUCAAUUACGUCGUUUUAAUUAUGUUUCGUUAAUUAAAAUUUGAAAUAUUAUGUAAUGAGUUAUAAUACCUUGUGUUGUUUGUUACUGAACACUCGUUGAAAGAAAAUAUCAGGGCAAAAAUUUCACUCGAGCGACGAAAAUAUUUGCAAAAUUUAAACCGCGGACGUAUUUAAAAUAGUGUUUUCUCCUCGUUGAGAUAGGUUGAGAUAAAUUUGAACACACCAAACUAUAGACAUUUAACUUGGCUUUAUGUCUCAAGUAAAAUUGAACGGGGCUUUUUUGAGCUCUUUUCAUAAAACGGAGAUAUCUUGCAGCCUUUAUAGUUUUCCGUAACACUGUCACUGCAUGUGUAUCAUGUCAACGACUGCAGUCGCACGAAAAAAGAUUCACACUGAAUAUUUUUGAGUGUCGGCGGCAGUUAUACCAAUAAUAGAAAUCAAAUCAAUUAGUAAAAAAACAUUUUACAAUGAAAUUUCAAUGGAUUCCGAGCAUGCCGGCUGGUUAACACAAAAGCGGUUAUAUAUUUAAGUUUUCAAAUUGUCGAGCAAAUUUUAGUUGUUUUUAUCAAAUUGUAGUUGUUUUAAAUGCAUGCAUGGUCAAUUUUGGGCUGUAUGAUUAUUGAAAAAUAGUAGCCAAGCAAUGUCGGAAUAUUCUUACUGUGAAAAUGUUUAUCCUACCUUCGCAUUAUGAAGUAAAAUAUCCCAUUUCAUACCAAAAUUUUCGUAUUUGGAAUAUGCCCACAUUCGAUCAGCUCGAUUCCUUUUCAAUUUUUUAUUUCGCUCAGAUGAAUCUUUAAAAUCCUUUUUCCUUCAUUAGAUAUACAGAAAAUGAAUCCAACAAUGUCUUCAAACCAUCAAGUUGUUUAGGAAUGUGCAGAAAACAUUUUUUACUUUAGUUUUUUCAGCUCUUUUUUGCAUAAACAUUCCAAUUCCAUUUUUAUUGACAUUAUAAAUUAAUGUAUACGGGGGAUCUCACAAAGAUCAGGGGCGCUAUCUCCGUUUCACCGCCCGUGUUUUAUAGCGCCCUGUCGUGACCUAGCACCCCCGCGCGCUCGCUCAUCUUAGCCACUGAUCUAUAUAAAAACACUGUAGUGUUGCUAUUUUCAGUACGUUAUUUGCGCCUGGAUACGAGGCUGUUAAAACCCUAUUUGACUUUAGGCCAUAUUUGCGCAAAGCCAAAAGACCCUGUUAAAACAAAUCAGAAAACUCAUGCUGUAUAUUCCAUACCAUGCGGUGACUGCGAGAAAGAGUAUUUGGGUCAGUCUAAACGCCAGUUUGGUAUACGGCUAAAACAACAUCAAAAGGCAGUUUCAACCUUAGACAAGGGAAAAUCAGCUUUAGCCGAACAUGUAUGUUACACCAAACACGAGAGUGCGUGGGAAAACUCUAAAGUAAUUACCACAAACAAUCGCUAUGGUCAAAGACUUUGCCUAGAAACGUGGCAUAUAAAUAUGAGUAAUCAUGCUUUGAAUAGGGAUGACGGUGCCUAUUUGCCAGAGGAAUAUAUGCAUCUCAUUGGCAGGUGACGUCAUCCCUUUGGUAUUUAAGAAGCCACGAUUGCAAUUUUAGAUCACCCCUGAUGAAGACACUAGACUGGAGUGUCGAAACGUUGGAUCACUUUGAUUACAAUUCGACUGGGCUUUGUAAUCAUUUAUUUAAAUCAGAGUAGCGAGCGAAACAUGAUUGAUAUACCUGGUUGCAGUGAACGAACAAACUUUAAAUUAAAAAUUGUAUUUGCUUAGCUAAUAGUCAGCAAAUUUUUUAACUUUCGGUAUAAUAUAUCUUUUAUAGACCCUCCUCUCGGGGGAUUCGUCGAAAUAUUACCCUCAGUGAUGAUAUUUCCCUCGGGGCUAAAUAUCACUUUAGGUAAUAUUCCGCCGAAUCCCCCUCGCUCCGGGUCUAUAAAUGAUAAUUAGGUGCACGCAUAUAAUGUGUGUGCUGUUUUGUGACUUUUGUAUAUGUCAAUCCAUUGGAGAAGUCCCCUCCCCCCCCCCCCCCCCCUACACGCUACAGGCAAUAAUACUUUUACUUCAAGUAUUUUAAAGGAUACUUUGUACUUUUUACUUAAGUAUGUUUUGCCUCCAGUAUUUUUUACUUUUACUCAAGUCGUUUUAUUGUUAAUUACUUAUACUUGUACUCGAGUACAAAUUCAAAGUAAUUUAGGCACCACUGUAAUCAUACAACAAUUGUAUUUCGUGACAAAAACUCUAGUGUAAACGAGUUUAAAAUUAAAAGAACCUACUUAAGCGGUUUCAGCAGCAUAUUCUGUUGCGUAUUUUUCUUCUUUUUUACAUUCUGUAUUUGAACACAAAAUUGGAAAAUCGUAGUUUCUAAUUAUGCUAGUUAUGCCGCCAUUUUCUUUAUGUAUGCGUAGCCGGUCGGAGCGGCAACAAUUUUUCACUUGUUGCCCGGUGCGAUCCAUUGCCACGCAAGUCACGUGACCACAAAUCAGCCAAUCACUUUUGGUGUUCACCCUACCUAUAUAACAACUUAGAUUGAAGAAUGGCCGAAGUGAUUAUAUUCAUCAUCGAAAAUAAGAGACUGCUGUGCUAAAUACCAGUUCAUUCUCGCAAUGUAAUCGCACAUGCGCAAAACAUAAAACAUUUUUAAUUCUGAGCUUGAAUCCUGUAGUGUAGUAAUAUUGCGUAAUAUAGUGGGCGGCGACAUUUAUUUUCGAACUCAUGUGUAUUUAUCUUACAAACUGGUGGCCCAGAAUUACACGUAAAUUGGAUCAAAAUCAUCUCCAUCGUAUCCAAAAAAUAAAUCAUUUAUAUAUUUCUUUGAUCUUGUCUAGAAAUUGCUAUUAAAUAUUUUAUUAAACUGUAAUAUUAACUAAUUUUGUUCUAGGAGGUGAUAUUCAUACGCAUUCCAGCUCGUCGUUUUUAUUCUCCCUGCGAAACAAAGACAACCUUGCUCCAUUUAUUGCCAACAUCAAGCAAGGUCAGGAGCCGUAUGCGAUUGUCAGUAACUCUGGUUGCGGACCAAUCUUUGGUAUUUAUCGCCAAGAUCUGUGCAUUAAUAAGAAUCCUCAAGUUAAUCAAUCAUACAGCAAGUUUGGAAACUCAUAUCAACUUCCUGCUGGUUAUGUUUGUGGAAGUGAACAAGCAAACAACCUUCUUGCUGGUCAGCACAAAUUCUUAACAAUGGAAAUCGAAGUUUUCAACUGAAAACGUUUGCCUGUUUACUUUAACCGCAAUUGCAUUGCAGUGAUUAUCUUAACCAAUUUUACGCAGUGGUAGUGCAUGAUUUUACUUGGAAAUCAACAUUUGCUGUAGGGGUUAGCGUAGUAAAAUAAAGUUUUACCUACCCACCUACCUA
This is a non-coding RNA of Paramuricea clavata, 5570 nucleotides long. The record is from the annotation of a GenBank genome assembly. NCBI's taxonomy places the organism in Eukaryota, Metazoa, Cnidaria, Anthozoa, Malacalcyonacea, Plexauridae.